Molecule: transfer RNA, 64 nt
Filed under: Pulchriphyllium bioculatum
Lineage: Eukaryota; Metazoa; Arthropoda; Insecta; Phasmatodea; Phylliidae
Description: tRNA-Leu
Source: RNAcentral
UCUAAUAUGGCAGAUUAGUGCAAUAGAUUUAAACCCUUUAUAAAAAAUAAAAUUUUUAUUAGAA